AAUAUUGCACAAUGGGCGAAAGCCUGAUGCAGCAACGCCGCGUGAGCGAAGAAGGCCUUUGGGUCGUAAAGCUCUGUCCUAGGGGAAGAAAAAAAGGCGGUACCCCUGGAGGGAGCCCCCGCCAACCUAGUUCCCGCAGCCGCGGUAAUUCGUAGGGGGCAAGCGUUAUCCGGAAUUAUUGGGCGUAAAGAGUGCGUAGGUGGUUUUGUAAGCGCGGGGUGAAAGGCAAUAGCUCAACUAUUGUAAGCCUUGCGAACUGUGAGACUUGAGUGCAGGAGAGGAAAGUGGAAUUCCUAGUGUAGCGGUGAAAUGCGUAGAUAUUAGGAGGAACACCAGUGGCGAAGGCGACUUUCUGGACUGUAACUGACACUGAGGCACGAAAGCGUGGGGAGCAAACA
This 398-nucleotide ribosomal RNA is filed under the name uncultured bacterium. RNAcentral's name for it is "partial 16S ribosomal RNA". It matches the Rfam family "Bacterial small subunit ribosomal RNA", at positions 360 to 774 of the family's 1533-position model. The record is from RNAcentral.